GGGCGAAUAGCUCAGUUGGCUAGAGCGCUUCCCUUACAAGGAAGAUGUCGCGGGUUCGAGUCCUGCUUCGCCCA
This 74-nucleotide transfer RNA is filed under the name Mucisphaera calidilacus. It matches the Rfam family "tRNA". Rfam says of the family: Transfer RNA (tRNA) molecules are approximately 80 nucleotides in length. Their secondary structure includes four short double-helical elements and three loops (D, anti-codon, and T loops). The record is from Rfam by way of RNAcentral. Lineage: Bacteria; Pseudomonadati; Planctomycetota; Phycisphaerae; Phycisphaerales; Phycisphaeraceae.